UUGAUCAUGGCUCAGGACGAACGCUGGCGGCGUGCCUAAUACAUGCAAGUAGAACGCUGAAGAGAGGAGCUUGCUCUUCUUGGAUGAGUUGCGAACGGGUGAGUAACGCGUAGGUAACCUGCCUUGUAGCGGGGGAUAACUAUUGGAAACGAUAGCUAAUACCGCAUAACAAUAGGUGACACAUGUCAUUUAUUUGAAAGGGGCAAUUGCUCCACUACAAGAUGGACCUGCGUUGUAUUAGCUAGUAGGUGAGGUAACGGCUCACCUAGGCGACGAUACAUAGCCGACCUGAGAGGGUGAUCGGCCACACUGGGACUGAGACACGGCCCAGACUCCUACGGGAGGCAGCAGUAGGGAAUCUUCGGCAAUGGGGGCAACCCUGACCGAGCAACGCCGCGUGAGUGAAGAAGGUUUUCGGAUCGUAAAGCUCUGUUGUAAGUCAAGAACGAGUGUGAGAGUGGAAAGUUCACACUGUGACGGUAGCUUACCAGAAAGGGACGGCUAACUACGUGCCAGCAGCCGCGGUAAUACGUAGGUCCCGAGCGUUGUCCGGAUUUAUUGGGCGUAAAGCGAGCGCAGGCGGUUUGAUAAGUCUGAAGUUAAAGGCUGUGGCUCAACCAUAGUUCGCUUUGGAAACUGUCAAACUUGAGUGCAGAAGGGGAGAGUGGAAUUCCAUGUGUAGCGGUGAAAUGCGUAGAUAUAUGGAGGAACACCGGUGGCGAAAGCGGCUCUCUGGUCUGUAACUGACGCUGAGGCUCGAAAGCGUGGGGAGCGAACAGGAUUAGAUACCCUGGUAGUCCACGCCGUAAACGAUGAGUGCUAGGUGUUGGAUCCUUUCCGGGAUUCAGUGCCGCAGCUAACGCAUUAAGCACUCCGCCUGGGGAGUACGACCGCAAGGUUGAAACUCAAAGGAAUUGACGGGGGCCCGCACAAGCGGUGGAGCAUGUGGUUUAAUUCGAAGCAACGCGAAGAACCUUACCAGGUCUUGACAUCCCGAUGCUAUUUCUAGAGAUAGAAAGUUACUUCGGUACAUCGGUGACAGGUGGUGCAUGGUUGUCGUCAGCUCGUGUCGUGAGAUGUUGGGUUAAGUCCCGCAACGAGCGCAACCCCUAUUGUUAGUUGCCAUCAUUCAGUUGGGCACUCUAGCGAGACUGCCGGUAAUAAACCGGAGGAAGGUGGGGAUGACGUCAAAUCAUCAUGCCCCUUAUGACCUGGGCUACACACGUGCUACAAUGGUUGGUACAACGAGUUGCGAGUCGGUGACGGCAAGCUAAUCUCUUAAAGCCAAUCUCAGUUCGGAUUGUAGGCUGCAACUCGCCUACAUGAAGUCGGAAUCGCUAGUAAUCGCGGAUCAGCACGCCGCGGUGAAUACGUUCCCGGGCCUUGCACACACCGCCCGUC
RNAcentral lists this ribosomal RNA (1401 nucleotides) under uncultured bacterium. Its description in RNAcentral is "16S ribosomal RNA". It matches the Rfam family "Bacterial small subunit ribosomal RNA". The record is from RNAcentral.